GGGAGGAAAAGAAACUAACAAGGAUUUUCUUAGUAGCGGCGAGCGAAAAGAAAAUAGUUCAGCACUAAGUCACUUUGUCUUAAUGGCAAAUGUGAGAUGCAGUGUAUGGAAUGUCAAAUUUCUAGUAUGAGAAAUUAACGAUUUAAGUCCUUCUUAAAUGAGGCCAUUUACCCAAAGAGGGUGCCAGGCCCGUAUAACGUUAAUGAUUACUAGAUGGCAUUUCCAAAGAGUCGUGUUGCUUGAUAGUGCAGCACUAAGUGGGUGGUAAACUCCAUCUAAAACUAAAUAUAACCAUGAGACCGAUAGUAAACAAGUACCGUGAGGGAAAGUUGAAAAGAACUCUGAAUAGAGAGUUAAAUAGUACGUGAAACUGCUUAGAGGUUAAGCCCGAUGAACCUGAAUAUCCGUUAUAGAAAAUUCAUCAUUAUGAUUUUAAUAUUUAUAAUAUUAUAAUAAUGGUGUGCAUUUUUUCUAUAAAAGGACAUUGUAAUCUAUUAACAUAAAUAUAUUUAUCAUAAGAUCAAGAGCGCGUAAGUUUAUUCAAAUUAUUUUGCUUGCAAUUUAACAUAGAAUAAAUGCUUUUGAUUUGAUAAAGUGUUGAUAGAUUUAUUAUAUAUAGUGCUUAAAUAUUUAUAUUUUAUAAUAGCAUAUUAAUCAUUGAUUUUUAUGUUUAUUAUAUGCACUUAUAUGAUUAACAAUGCGAAAGAUUCAGGAUACCUUCGGGACCCGUCUUGAAACACGGACCAAGGAGUCUAACAUAUUUGCAAGUUAUUGGGAAUAAAAACCUAAUAGCGAAAUUAACAUAACUUAAUAAUGGGAUUAGUUUUUAGCCUAUUUAUAGUCUAUUAAUACAAUCCCGGGGCGUUCUAUCAGUUAUGUAUAAUAAUAUUUAUAUUAUUUAUACCUCUAACUAGAGCGUACCUUGAGCAUAUAUGCUGUGACCCGAAAGAUGGUGAACUAUACUUGAUCAGGUUGAAGUCAGGGGAAACCCUGAUGGAAGACCGAAACAG
Molecule: ribosomal RNA, 1010 nt
Filed under: Phormia regina (black blowfly)
Lineage: Eukaryota; Metazoa; Arthropoda; Insecta; Diptera; Calliphoridae
Description: eukaryotic LSU rRNA
Rfam family: Eukaryotic large subunit ribosomal RNA
Source: RNAcentral